RNAcentral lists this ribosomal RNA (424 nucleotides) under uncultured bacterium. RNAcentral describes it as "partial 16S ribosomal RNA". It matches the Rfam family "Bacterial small subunit ribosomal RNA", at positions 354 to 795 of the family's 1533-position model. The record is from RNAcentral.
GUGAGGAAUUUUCCGCAAUGGGCGAAAGCCUGAUCCAGCCAUGCCGCGUGAACGAUGAAGGCCUUCGGGUUGUAAAGUUCUUUAGCCGAUGAUUAUAAUGACUGUAGUCGGAAAAUAAGCCCCGGCUAACUUCGUGCCAGCAGCCGCGGUAAUACGAAGGGGGCGAGCGUUAUUCGGAAUCACUGGGCGUAAAGCGUGCGUAGGCGGUUUUGUAAGUUAGGAGUGAAAGCCCAGGGCUCAAACUUGGAAUUGCUCUUAAAACUGCAAGGCUCGAAUCUCGGAGAGGAUAGCGGAAUUUCCAGUGUAGCAGUGAAAUGCGUAGAUAUUGGAAGGAACACCAGUGGCGUAAGCGGCUAUCUGGACGAGUAUUGACGCUGAGGCACGAAAGCGUGGGGAUCAAACAGGAUUAGAAACCCCUGUAGCC